CCUACGGGCGGCUGCAGUAGGGAAUCUUCCACAAUGGGCGAAAGCCUGAUGGAGCAACGCCGCGUGGGUGAAGAAGGUCUUCGGAUCGUAAAACCCUGUUGUUAGAGAAGAAAGUGCGUGAGAGUAACUGUUCACGUUUCGACGGUAUCUAACCAGAAAGCCACGGCUAACUACGUGCCAGCAGCCGCGGUAAUACGUAGGUGGCAAGCGUUAUCCGGAUUUAUUGGGCGUAAAGGGAACGCAGGCGGUCUUUUAAGUCUGAUGUGAAAGGCUUCGGCUUAACCGGAGUAGUGCAUUGGAAACUGGUAGACUUGAGUGCAGAAGAGGAGGGUGGAACUCCAUGUGUAGCGGUGAAAUGCGUAGAUAUAUGGAAGAACACCAGUGGCGAAGGCGGCUCUCUGGUCUGUAACUGACGCUGAGGUUCGAAAGCGUGGGUAGCAAACAGGAUUAGAUACCCUAGUAGUC
This 465-nucleotide ribosomal RNA is filed under the name uncultured bacterium. RNAcentral describes it as "partial 16S ribosomal RNA". It matches the Rfam family "Bacterial small subunit ribosomal RNA", at positions 338 to 795 of the family's 1533-position model. The record is from RNAcentral.